CUCAUGACUCAGAGUAUUUAUUAUGUAAAUAAGUUUUAAAAAAAAAAUAAAAAAGUUAUGGCAGCAUUGUGUUUCUCAUAGCACUUUAAACUUUUCGUUUUUUAAGCAUAACACAAGCCGAUUCAUCCAGUAAAUGAUAUCAGGGCUACUUUGCAGAUUUAGUCUCUCUAAUAGUUGCAAGAAUUUGUGUCGUCUCCCUUAUCUAUAAAAGAUUAAACUUAGCUAAAAAUAGCAGGUAAAUGUUUGGAAAUAUGGCAAAAAUGUGUUUUGAUGGGGUUUGACAUCACGAAAGAAUCCUUCCUUGUCCAUACUCGUAUUGUUCUUUCUAAGUAUUACAUGCUACACAUUAGAUAAAUAAGCCAGCGUGUGUAAAAACAUUGAUAUGGACAUUUAAAUAGCAGCAGUUAUCUUUUUGUACACAGCAACUAGGGGAUCUACUGAGUCAAUAUUACUUCAGAAGAGCGGUAUGUUCGAGGAUCUAUGGGUUCACAAGCUCUGUUUCUUUUCCUUCAGUGAAAUAAACUCCUUCAAAAUUCCUGCGAUGAUGGCCUGAGACAUCGGCGGAAACCUGUACACCAAAAACCGCUUGAAGCCUGAAAACUGAAGCAGAAGUGAUGAUGUCUCGUAAUCCGUGAAGUAAAUGGGACAUUCUACGGCCUGCCUCUAUCAUGACACCCAGUGCUGAGGCAGAUGAGCGUCCUCCCUGAGCCUGGUUCUGCCGGAGGUUUCUUCCUGUUAAAAGGGAUUUUUUUUUCCCUCCCACUGUCGCCAAGUGUUUGCUCCGAGGGAAUAGUUGGAUUUCUCUGUGUAAUAUAAUAUUGUAAGGUCUUGAUGUAACUCUGCAAAGUUCCCUAGAUGUUGACUUCUAUUGUGAACUGUUGCUGUAUAAAUAAAAAUGUAAGUGAAUUGCAGUUUUGCACCCAAAA
This is a long non-coding RNA of Stegastes partitus (bicolor damselfish), 926 nucleotides long. RefSeq lists it as uncharacterized. NCBI's taxonomy places the organism in Eukaryota, Metazoa, Chordata, Actinopteri, Pomacentridae. The transcript has 2 exons. The record is from RefSeq and is a predicted model, not a curated record.